This 253-nucleotide ribosomal RNA is filed under the name uncultured bacterium. RNAcentral's name for it is "partial 16S ribosomal RNA". It matches the Rfam family "Bacterial small subunit ribosomal RNA", at positions 524 to 776 of the family's 1533-position model. The record is from RNAcentral.
GACAGAGGAGGCAAGCGUUGUUCGGAUUCAUUGGGCGUAAAGGGUGCGUAGGUGGUUGGGUAAGUCAAAUGUGAAAUCCCGGAGCUCAACUCCGGAACUGCAUUCGAUACUGCCCGGCUCGAGGAUUGGAGAGGAGACUGGAAUUCACGGUGUAGCAGUGAAAUGCGUAGAGAUCGUGAGGAACACCCGUGGCGAAGGCGGGUCUCUGGACAAUUCCUGACACUGAGGCACGAAGGCCAGGGGAGCAAACGGG